Molecule: ribosomal RNA, 254 nt
Filed under: uncultured bacterium
Lineage: Bacteria
Description: partial 16S ribosomal RNA
Rfam family: Bacterial small subunit ribosomal RNA
Source: RNAcentral
UACGUAGGGGGCAAGCGUUGUCCGGAUUCAUUGGGCGUAAAGAGCUCGUAGGCGGUUCAGCAAGUCGGGUGUGAAACCUCCAGGCUCAACCUGGAGACGCCACCCGAUACUGCUGUGACUUGAGUCCGGUAGGGGACCACGGAAUUCCUGGUGUAGCGGUGAAAUGCGCAGAUAUCAGGAGGAACACCGGUGGCGAAGGCGGUGGUCUGGGCCGGAACUGACGCUGAGGAGCGAAAGCGUGGGGAGCGAAUGGG